UGGGCUUUGCCAUUAACAUUCAUUCGGCUGGUUGAACCGGCACAAAAAAGCCAAAAUCCCCCUUAUUGAAGCUUCCAAGAGGACCAAGAUGUAAAUUUGAAUUUUCCCUUCCCUCUCUCACAUUUGGAUUCACCUCCCACAGUCCCACCCUCUCUCAUCCGAACACUAUCCCAUUACCAAAUCACCGGCGACCGACAUCAACCAACGUCCGAAGGCAAGAAAUCAACGGAUAAUCGACGCCAAUCGUUCCAUCUCUCUAUCCCUUUCACUUCUCACCUUUCAGGCUCCUGAGUUCUGAAAUCCAGUUUUAGAAGUAGAGCAAGAAUUCGAAAGAUUUUCUCUUGUCUCCAUGGAGAAGAGGCUUCGUUCGUCUCUCCAAAGUUCCGCGGAAGAAUUCCUCUUGUCUGCAACCAAAAUCGGUUUCAAGUCUGUCAAACCCUCCUUGAAGGCCCUAAUUUGGAACAUCACCUCAUCUUCAGAGCUCAGUUCCUCUCUCCCUUUCGCUCUGCAUCAGUCUGUCGUUGGAUCUAUUGAAUCCUUCAAGCAAUUGCUUCAACCGAAUGGUGGUGACUGCACUAUCUCUCCACGUUCUCCCCCAACUAAGCGACUCCGAAGAUCGUCCAGACAAAGGAAGAACACAAAGGAAUCGACUGAUGAGGACUCUAGUACUAAAAUCACUUCUGCAAAGCAACUUCUUCUCCAGAGUCUUCAAGCCUACGCUUACAUUGCUCAUCUCUGCAUAUCUCAUCCGAAGAAGCCCUUUUCUCCUUCGGAUCUCUUACCUUCUGUUCAGGCGUUACAUGAUAACUUAGUCUUAUUUGAACCGGAUCAAAUCCUACUUUGUGAGAUUGCUAACUUGUGCGAAAAAUGGUGGAAGGAGCAGUUGCCGGGCAGAGAAACACUAAUUUCCCAAUCCCUUCCGUUUCUGCUGUCGAUGUCACUGACUAUUCGGAAAAAAUCAUACUUGCAUAGGGUUUAUGCCCUCCGGGAGGCGUUCUCUUUAUUUGAUUUUGAGGAUGAGAGCAUUGAGGAUCUGAAGCUCCUGCUGGUUCGUUGUAUCAUUACACCUUUGUACUUGAAGACGGAGGAGGGAAGGCGUUUUGUGGCAUUUUUGUUUGGAUUGUCCAAUCAGCUUGUUAAAGAAGCCUUGGCUAUAAUUCGGUCUCAGAUUCCUUUCGGAAGGAAAUCCAUGUUGGAGGCAUAUGCAGAUAUUGCUUUCAGGGCCUGGAAAGCCUCAGAAGGAUCUUCACGUGAUGAAAUUGAAAGUUGUUUUCUUCAGGGUUUGAUUGAAGGUGCCAUUCAUGCAAGUUCUGGACCAUUUGCUGCCUCUAUAAGAAGGGUUUUAGGAGGGUUUAUUAAUCAGCGGACUACUGCUGGUGUCGAGAAGCUUCUUUUCUGCCUUGCUGAGCCUGUACUGUUCCGGUCUCUUCAGGUUGCAAAUUCUAAUGUUCGUCAAAAUGCAUUGCAUUUGUUCCUUGACAUGUUCCCCCUUGAAGAUCCAGAUGCUACAAAAGAGGUUAAGGAUGCUUUACUUGAUAAACAAUUCUUCUUAUUGGAACGGUUACUCAUAGAUGACUGCCCUGCUGUGAGAGUUGUUGCUGUACAAGGUUCAUGUCGUAUUCUUCAUUUGUUUUGGGAAGUUAUUCCUUCUUCAACUAUAACAAAGAUUAUGACAAAAGUUGUAGAUGAUAUGUCACAUGAUAUAUGCAGCGAGGUUAGAAUCUCUACAUUGAGUGGCAUAAUAUAUUUGAUUGGAAAUCCCCAAACUCAUGAAAUUCUUAAAGUGCUUCUUCCUAGAUUGGGACAUCUAUUCCAUGAUUCUGUUCUUUCUGUACGAGAAUCUUUUACUGAUCUCCUCCUUGCUGUAAAAAGUAUUCGGGCUUUCCCAUUUAAUAAGGUUGUGGACCUAGAUAUAAUACUCUCUGCCCUUGCCAAUGAUCAACCACCUGUUGCUCAGAAAAUCACAAGGCUCCUUAUGCCAUCAUACUUUCCUGCAAAAGUAACAUCACAAGAGGCAUGUAAUCGUUGUCUCACACUUAUAAAAAGGUAUCCUAUGGCUGGGGCAAGGCUCUGUGAAUUUGCUUUAUCAGAAGGGUCAUCUGUUAAGUCUCUCUUGGAGCUUGCCAGAGUCUUUAUCAAUUUGGCCCUGUCACCUGAUGAUCUAAAUGCUGAUCAAAUUGAGGGUUUACUUGUUGGUGCUUCCAACCUUUGCAACAUUCUUGUUACCGAGUCAUCUUGUAAAGCUGCUUUACAGGAAUUGUUUUCAGGUGGAAAGCUGAAGUCCUUGAUUACUUCUGCUGCAUCUGGGCGUGCUCGAACAUCUGUGUUCAGCAUUGCUGCUGUUUUAUCUCCAGAUGAUGUAGCUAUCCUUUCUGAAGAAUGCAUGGGCCUUAUCAUGAAUUGCAGUGGUUUAUCUCAAAAUGUGGAAAGGCAGGCAGAGAUAAGUUCUGUCCAUAAGCUGUUGCUAUCCUGUGGUAGAUUUGAUGACAUGUUUGCAUCCUUAACCAGCCUCUUGCAAAAUAUUGCCUCUGGAUUUUGUAUUAGAUUUGGAAAAGAAGUCCCCGCUAAGAGUGUACAAUCUACCAGACAGACAAAAACUAAGUUUUCUGUGAAAACCUCAGCGAAAAAUGCCAGCAGAAAAAAAUCUUCUAGUUCAGAUACUUCCAGUUUUGAGGAAGAUUGCCUUAUUGCUGCAGGAGCAGCAUGGCAGAUAAAAGACUUGCUCAUGUCUGUAUAUACACGAAAUUCCAUGCUAAAGUCCAAGACAUUGGAACUGGCAUUUUCAGCUUUGAUGAUCAUCUCUGAGGUCAUUAUUGAACAAUGCAUGCGUUAUGAUUUCCUGGAAACAUCACCAGUUCUUGCAUACACAGCUCUUGCCAUGAACAUGACUUUUCAAAAAAUUGGGUUAACUAAUAAAACCAGUCCUGAUGAAAAGAAGAACAACGGGUUGGAUACUACAUCGUUGGAGCUAACAGAGUUGGACCAGUCAGUGAAUCAUCUGCUUAAUUGUGCAGAGAAGCUAAUUGAUGCAAGGCUCAUUGGAGAAAGUAGAUCACUGCCUUUAAAUUCUAAGCAAGGAUCCAGUUUACCCAAACAAAGGAAGAUAUCAAAUAUGUUGAAAAUGGUUACCACAGUUCUCAAGUCUAUUGUUGAUGCCAUGGCCAUACAUGUUGGUUCUCACAAUCAAGAAAGGUGCUUGCAGUUCACUUCAGCAUUUGUUCAACAUGUCAUCUCAACUCUAAGGAAGCAUUCCCAUGAUAAACUACAAUUCAAAGAAGACGAGUUGAAAGAAGUGUUCUUUUGCCUCAGGAGUUCCUUCACCUAUGCAAUAAAGUUGCUAAAUAUAGUUCUCACAAAUUGCAAUGACUCUUCACCACCACCACUGGAGGUCUCUGGUCUUGCCAAUGACAUGCUUGAUUUGAUUGCCUCAACUGAAUCAUACUUGGGUUCGGGCCAUGCCACACGUCUUGUUGCUACAGUGAAGUCAUGGAUACCUGAUAUAAUCCUAGCACUAGGAUCUGACCACAUUAUGACAAAGGCUCCACAAGAAGGAGGUUGUUCCAGUGCAUCUGAUCACAUUAAGCAUCGUUUCCCAUCAUGGCUCACAAUUUUGGGUAAGGUUGAGCUCUGUGAAAUAAUUGACUUUAACCAAGAUGAGGAGACUGAAAAGGUUCAUGAACCAGAGGAUUUUGUGGUUUUCAAGAAACUAAUGGAAAAGGUAGCUCUACUUUUGAGAGAAAAUCCAAAAGUACUGGAUGCAGUCGGGGUUAUAUUCUUGACUGGUUCAGCAGUUGGGCUUGAAAGGAAGGAUUUUGGGUUGGUUCUGGGAUUGGUGCAUUUUGUUUGUGUUAAAUUGGCCAGAAUUGACCAUGGAGAGUGGGAAGAACUGGGGCUCAUGUUGGCUUGUCUGCAAGUGCUUUACCCUCAAAUAGAUGCUCACAUUAGGAAUCCAAGAAUAAACGAGGAUGAGAGGCAACAAUUAGAGAGUGCAAUGAGGUUACUUGAACCUGUUUGGAGGAAUUAUAUUUAUGAAGAUGAUGAUGGGUGCAUGGUGGAAGAUUAGAUGCUAACUUCAUGGGGCUCAGGCCUGUUUGUUGAUCAGUAAGUUCUCGUAGUAUAAAAUAUAGAAGGAAAGCCCUGAUUAUUUCUAUCUAUUUUUGAAGAGGUCCCCAUAUAUAAGAGAUUUACAAGAUAUUCACUUAUUCAGUAUACAUCCAUCUACAAACAUUUACAACUUCGUCACUCCAAUUGUUGCAGAAACGAGAAAGUUGAGCCGACUUGGAUCCACUAGAGUAAUCAACCUCAAGUUCAUUAUCACUUGGUUGGCGUUGCUUAAUAGCGUUUCUCCCACGAUGUCGGAAUUUGUUCAAAGAUCACAGGAAAAAUAGAAAGAGGGGCUCUCACAAGAAGCUGCACACACUGAUUUGUGAAACAAGCAGGUUAUACUUCUGAAAAGACAACACCAAGGAAUAUUUAUUGUACAGCCACUUCAAAAUCCCAUGGCAACCUGCAUAAAGAAGACAAUCUCUAAAGGAAAUUGACCAACUAUACUCUUACUAUUUUAGUAUUAUUUCUACUGUUUCUGACAAUUCUCACCAUUGAAAAAAACUAUAAUGUUAAAUUUGCCCUCCAUUAUUUUUCAAAAUUUCAAAAUAAAACUUAACUGUUGAAAAAUUUUCAUCGCCACCUCCAUUGCUAUAUCCAUCAUCUGCACCUUCACCCCUCCACUUCCGGCCCCUUCUCUCCAUCUUCCCCUUCGUUUUCUCGAUUUUGAGCUCCUCUGCUUCCUGUGGGUUCACAGGCUAUCAAAAACGUCCAUGUCGACGUUCUCGGGUUUCGCUAAUAUUAACAAGAUAGAGGGCUGUUAGUGAAAGAAUCCGGUUGAACGGACACAAUAACUAUUGGUAUUAUCGAUCCCUUAGAUUUUGGAUUCUCUCUCCUCUACCAAGCCCUAGACUAGAGCAUGCUUUCUGGCGACUAGUGACCCCAUUGAACACAGAAUCCACCGGCUGCAACACUCUGAUCGAAGUCCAUGUUUAAGUGUAAGGUGGUUAAAGGGGUCUGAAUAAUUAAUCACAAGCAUUACGGAACCAUGCAUAGAUCGGUCACCAGGAUUUGAAUCCAAAGAGUUUGCACAACUUUCAAAGAUAAAUCUAGUUGUUUUGGUACUCAGUUCAAAGAGCUAGAGAUUUGAAAUGUUGUCCAUUUUGAGCAUUGGCUGUUGGUCGUCGGCUUCGGAACAAUGGGUGCUCGGAUCAGUAAGAGCUCGGUUUAGUGUGUCGCCGCCAGUGGCUUUCGCAUUCAAUGGGGUUGCCGAUCGCCGAGAAGCGUGCUUUGGUCUAGGGCUUGGCGGAAGAGUGAAUGUGAGGGAGAAUCCAAAAUCUGGGAUACAUAAUACCCUGUUAGCGUUAGAGAACCCUGUCUAUAGCUCCGGGAAUCAGUUGUUUUCUGCCUCUACAAUCGUUCUCUCCAACUACACCAUCAAGAGGAGAGCUCUGCUGCUACAGCUCCCCUGUUCUCGUUGACAGAGAAGGGAGUUGCAGUGGCCUGACGAUGAACCGAGAUCUUGUAUUGAAGAGACAGAAAGCUUUCCAAUCGUUGCAUCAUGGCUGGUUUUCGUCUGACGGUUGACGUUCUCUGUUUUUGACUGAAAUUUAUGAAAACUAGGUUCCGAUCGUUGGGAUAAUCAAGAUUCAAAGUAAUUUGGUCUGGUUUUGUUUUCUUCUAUAAAAUAGUGGUGAAAUUGGGUUAACGGUCA
Non-coding RNA from Nelumbo nucifera (sacred lotus), 5758 nucleotides. The record is from RefSeq and is a predicted model, not a curated record. Lineage: Eukaryota; Viridiplantae; Streptophyta; Magnoliopsida; Proteales; Nelumbonaceae.